RNAcentral lists this ribosomal RNA (497 nucleotides) under uncultured bacterium. RNAcentral's name for it is "partial 16S ribosomal RNA". It matches the Rfam family "Bacterial small subunit ribosomal RNA", at positions 28 to 507 of the family's 1533-position model. The record is from RNAcentral.
GAUGAACGCUGGCGGCGUGCCUAAUACAUGCAAGUCGAGCGAACGGACGAGAAGCUUGCUUCUCUGAUGUUAGCGGCGGACGGGUGAGUAACACGUGGAUAACCUACCUAUAAGACUGGGAUAACUUCGGGAAACCGUAGCUAAUACCGGAUAAUAUUUUGAACCGCAUGGUUCAAAAGUGAAAGACGGUCUUGCUGUCACUUAUAGAUGGAUCCGCGCUGCAUUAGCUAGUUGGUAAGGUAACGGCUUACCAAGGCAACGAUGCAUAGCCGACCUGAGAGGGUGAUCGGCCACACUGGAACUGAGACACGGUCCAGACUCCUACGGGAGGCAGCAGUAAGGAAUCUUCCGCAAAGGGCGAAAGCCUGACGGAGCAACGCCGCGUGAGUGAUGAAGGUCUUCGGAUCGUAAAACUCUGUUAUUAGGGAAGAACAUAUGUGUAAGUAACUGUGCACAUCUUGACGGUACCUAAUCAGAAAGCCACGGCUAACUACGUG